RNAcentral lists this ribosomal RNA (301 nucleotides) under uncultured bacterium. RNAcentral's name for it is "partial 16S ribosomal RNA". It matches the Rfam family "Bacterial small subunit ribosomal RNA", at positions 509 to 807 of the family's 1533-position model. The record is from RNAcentral.
CAGUCGCCACGGGAAUACGUAGGUGGCAAGCGUUAUCCGGAAUUAUUGGGCGUAAAGCGCGCGUAGGCGGUUUUUUAAGUCUGAUGUGAAAGCCCACGGCUCAACCGUGGAGGGUCAUUGGAAACUGGAAAACUUGAGUGCUGAAGAGGAAAGUGGAAUUCCAUGUGUAGCGGUGAAAUGCGCAGAGAUAUGGAGGAACACCAGUGGCGAAGGCGACUUUCUGGUCUGUAACUGACGCUGAUGUGCGAAAGCGUGGGGAUCAAACAGGAUUAGAUACCCCAGUAGUCCCUGUCUCUUAUAC